CCUACGGGAGGCAGCAGUGAGGAAUAUUGGUCAAUGGACGAGAGUCUGAACCAGCCAAGUAGCGUGAAGGAUGACUGCCCUAUGGGUUGUAAACUUCUUUUAUAUGGGAAUAAAACGUUCCACGUGUGGGAUUUUGUAUGUACCAUAUGAAUAAGGAUCGGCUAACUCCGUGCCAGCAGCCGCGGUAAUACGGAGGAUCCGAGCGUUAUCCGGAUUUAUUGGGUUUAAAGGGAGCGUAGGUGGAUUGUUAAGUCAGUUGUGAAAGUUUGCGGCUCAACCGUAAAAUUGCAGUUGAAACUGGCAGUCUUGAGUACAGUAGAGGUGGGCGGAAUUCGUGGUGUAGCGGUGAAAUGCUUAGAUAUCACGAAGAACUCCGAUUGCGAAGGCAGUUCACUGGACUGCAACUGACACUGAGGCUCGAAAGUAUGGGUAUCAAACAGGAUUAGAUACCCCAGUAGUC
Molecule: ribosomal RNA, 460 nt
Filed under: uncultured bacterium
Lineage: Bacteria
Description: partial 16S ribosomal RNA
Rfam family: Bacterial small subunit ribosomal RNA
Source: RNAcentral